This 481-nucleotide ribosomal RNA is filed under the name uncultured bacterium. Its description in RNAcentral is "bacterial SSU rRNA". It matches the Rfam family "Bacterial small subunit ribosomal RNA", at positions 343 to 814 of the family's 1533-position model. The record is from RNAcentral.
AUUAGGCAGCAGUUAGGAAUCUUCCGCAAUGGGCGAAAGCCUGACGGAGCAACGCCGCGUGAGUGAUGAAGGUCUUCGGAUCGUAAAACUCUGUUAUUAGGGAAGAACAAAUGUGUAAGUAACUAUGCACGUCUUGACGGCACCUAAUCAGAAAGCCACGGCUAACUACGUGCCAGCAGCCGCGGUAAUACGUAGGUGGCAAGCGUUAUCCGGAAUUAUUGGGCGUAAAGCGCGCGUAGGCGGUUUUUUAAGUCUGAUGUGAAAGCCCACGGCUCAACCGUGGAGGGUCAUUGGAAACUGGAAAACUUGAGUGCAGAAGAGGAAAGUGGAAUUCCAUGUGUAGCGGUGAAAUGCGCAGAGAUAUGGAGGAACACCAGUGGCGAAGGCGACUUUCUGGUCUGUAACUGACGCUGAUGUGCGAAAGCGUGGGGAUCAAACAGGAUUAGAUACCCCAGUAGUCCAAUAUUCCUAACUGCUGCCU